This 357-nucleotide ribosomal RNA is filed under the name uncultured bacterium. RNAcentral's name for it is "bacterial SSU rRNA". It matches the Rfam family "Bacterial small subunit ribosomal RNA", at positions 517 to 871 of the family's 1533-position model. The record is from RNAcentral.
GCGGUAAUACGAAGGUGGCAAGCGUUAUUCGGAUUUACUGGGCGUACAGGGAGCGUAGGCGGUUCGGUAAGCCCUCUGUGAAAUCUUCAGGCUUAACCUGGAAAAGUCGGGGGGGACUGGCCGGGCUAGAGGACGGGAGAGGAGCGCGGAAUUCCCGGUGUAGCGGUGAAAUGCGUAGAGAUCGGGAGGAAGGCCGGUGGCGAAGAGCGGCGCUCUGGAACGUUUCUGACGCUGAGGCUCGAAAGCGUGGGGAGCAAACAGGAUUAGAUACCCUGGGUAGUCCACGCCUUAAACUAUGAAUACUAAGUGUCGGCGGGGUUACCGCCGGUGCCGCAGCUAACGCAUUAAGUAUUCCCG